Molecule: long non-coding RNA, 637 nt
Filed under: Homo sapiens (human)
Lineage: Eukaryota; Metazoa; Chordata; Mammalia; Primates; Hominidae
Description: non-protein coding ZNF433-AS1:29
Source: RNAcentral
AUUGCCUGGCUGCUAGAGGAAACCCGAAGUCGGGAUUCUUUCUUUCCUGCUCUGAGAGGGACCAGGUCCCUCCUCCGUAGCUUUUGUCUCUCUAUUGCCUGCGCCGUGUCCUGGACUGCUCACGGGAGUUCUGCAGGAGACGCCGGAAUAUCUGGAAGCUGAAAAAUGGAAAUAAAUGGAAAGACCAGAAUAUUGAAGAUCACUACAGAAAUCUAAGGGUCAGGCAUGGUGGCUCACACCUGUAAUCCCAGCACUUUGGGAAGCAGAGGCAGUUGGAUCACUUGAACCUGGGAGGCGUUCUGGAGGUCAGGAGUUCGAGACCAGCUUGGCCAACAUGGUGAAACCCUGUGUCUGCUAAAAAUACAAAAAUUAGCCGGGCCUCAUGGCACAUGCCUGUAAUCCCAGCUACUCUGGAGGCUGAAGCAGGAGAAUCGCUUGAACCUGGGAGGCGGAGGUUGCAGUGAGCCGAGAUCACGCCACUGCUUCUUGCUUUAAAAGAAGAGUAAAGACAAGAGUGUUGGACCAGUAUUGCAGUUCUGUAGUAUCAUUUCUUAUAAAAAACAAAACAACAAUAAUUUAUCAAAAUUGGCAUAUAAAGACUGACAACAUUCUAAUAAAGGCACAAAUUUCUUUUUAA